This 465-nucleotide ribosomal RNA is filed under the name uncultured Klebsiella sp. RNAcentral's name for it is "bacterial SSU rRNA". It matches the Rfam family "Bacterial small subunit ribosomal RNA", at positions 338 to 795 of the family's 1533-position model. Lineage: Bacteria; Pseudomonadati; Pseudomonadota; Gammaproteobacteria; Enterobacterales; Enterobacteriaceae. The record is from RNAcentral.
CCUACGGGAGGCUGCAGUGGGGAAUAUUGCACAAUGGGCGCAAGCCUGAUGCAGCCAUGCCGCGUGUGUGAAGAAGGCCUUCGGGUUGUAAAGCACUUUCAGCGGGGAGGAAGGCGGUGAGGUUAAUAACCUCAUCGAUUGACGUUACCCGCAGAAGAAGCACCGGCUAACUCCGUGCCAGCAGCCGCGGUAAUACGGAGGGUGCAAGCGUUAAUCGGAAUUACUGGGCGUAAAGCGCACGCAGGCGGUCUGUCAAGUCGGAUGUGAAAUCCCCGGGCUCAACCUGGGAACUGCAUUCGAAACUGGCAGGCUAGAGUCUUGUAGAGGGGGGUAGAAUUCCAGGUGUAGCGGUGAAAUGCGUAGAGAUCUGGAGGAAUACUGGUGGCGAAGGCGGCCCCCUGGACAAAGACUGACGCUCAGGUGCGAAAGCGUGGGGAGCAAACAGGAUUAGAUACCCUAGUAGUC